RNAcentral lists this unclassified non-coding RNA (376 nucleotides) under soil metagenome. RNAcentral's name for it is "partial contains 5.8S ribosomal RNA, internal transcribed spacer 2, and large subunit ribosomal RNA". The stretch from base 1 to 120 matches the Rfam family "5.8S ribosomal RNA", at positions 35 to 154 of the family's 154-position model. The record is from RNAcentral.
GAUGAAGAACGCAGUGAAAUGCGAUAAGUAAUGUGAAUUGCAGAAUUCAGUGAAUCAUCGAAUCUUUGAACGCACCUUGCACCCUUUGGCAUUCCGAAGGGUAUGCUCGUUUGAGUGUCAUUGUACUCUCACACUCCCGAUCUUUGGAUUGGGAGCGGUGGACUUGGGUUUGCUGCUUGCCGUGGCUCACCUCAAAUGGAUUAGUGCAACUCUUGGUUGACCAUAGUACGGCGUGAUAAGUGUCUUCGCCGGCACCUCACUGGGUGGGCCGAUCGGGAGCUCUGUGCUUCAAACUGUCUUCGGACAACAUCUGACAACUUGACCUCAAAUCGAGUAGGACUACCCGCUGAACUUAAGCAUAUCAAUAAGCGGAGGA